This is a long non-coding RNA of Lepidothrix coronata (blue-crowned manakin), 417 nucleotides long. RefSeq lists it as uncharacterized. The record is from RefSeq and is a predicted model, not a curated record. The transcript is spliced from 3 exons. NCBI's taxonomy places the organism in Eukaryota, Metazoa, Chordata, Aves, Passeriformes, Pipridae.
CUGCCUCCUCCCCUCCCCCGAGAAGGGCAGCUCCGAUCCUGCAGAAACGCCUGAAACUGUUUCAGACCAAGGAGCUUUGUGCUGACUUCACCAUGCUGCAAGAUCAGUCCUUCUUCCCCAUCUAUACAAGUGAGACAACCUUCCCCUCCCCAUAGUGCAGAUACAACUGAGGUGGAUUAAGCACCUGAAAUCAUUGCUUCUUCUCAAUUAAGUUCCAGAUCCAAGCAAGGCACAGCUCAAAAUUAUCAUGUGAUAUAUCAUUGCAGAAUCACAGAAUGUGCUGAGUUGGAAGGGACCGACAAGGAUCAUCAAGUCCAACUCCUGGCCCUGCACAGGACCAUCCCCAAGAGUCACACCAUGUGCCUGAGAGUAUAUCCAAACACUACUUGAACUCUGUUAGGCUUGGUGCUGGGGAGC